AUCUUCACACCAUCACCUUUCUCCUGGAAUUAACAGCUUCUUCUGAAGAAAGAAGGAAGAUAUUAGUGAAAAGGAAGGAGCUCUGCUUCUAGACAAAUCAACACAAGCUUGCUACCUUACACAUUCUUCUCCCAGUUUGACUCAGGGAAUCUCCUUUUUGCUGCCAAGGAAGAUAUAAAGGAUGCAGGAGCUGAGCUCCCACCAGAACUGUAGAAAAGCCCUAGAGAAUGCUGUAAGGCUAGAACAAUGCCUGGAGACUAAGCUGUUGGAGCAGAUGAGAAAUGGAAGUUUCGAUGCUCUCAGAGAUAGCUCCGGCUGGCAGUAGCAAUGGUAUUAGUCAGGGAAUGCAAGCCAUCCAGGCAACCUAAAGAAGACAACACCAUCAGUAUCAUACUUCUACACUGCUACAUUAAUGUCCAGAAUGAAGCUUCCCUCUUGACUUUGAAAAAAUAUUUCUUGAAACCAACUCUACUUGAGCCAUGCCUGCAAAUGACCAGCUUGUCUGUGCAAAGUGCAGGAUGGAAAUAUAUCACUCCAUCUCAGAGUUAUUGGGAGGCUCAGAUACAAUCAUGACUGUGAACACCCUGGAAAAUUUCAAAGAGCCCUACAAAUUUAAGUAUCUGGACAAAAGUAAAAAUAAUGGUGGAUUGGUGGGUGUCUGGAUGGGUCCUGGAAGUCUUUAUCUUCUCAAAAGUGGAAAACUGACAGCUUCAAAAAUCUGGACUUACCUGAAUAUUUAUUUAUUUAUUUUGAGAGGAGAGAACGAGCGAGCAAGAGAGAGAGAGAGUACAAGCAGGAGGCGGGGCAGAGGGAGAGGGAAAAGCAGACUCCUUGCUGAGCAGGGAGCCAGACGCAGAGCUCAAUGCCAGGACCCUGGGAUCAUGACUUGAGCCGAAGGCAGACACUUAACUGACUGAGCC
This 920-nucleotide long non-coding RNA is filed under the name Mustela putorius furo (domestic ferret). RNAcentral describes it as "lncRNA (ENSMPUG00000029461.1)". Lineage: Eukaryota; Metazoa; Chordata; Mammalia; Carnivora; Mustelidae. The record is from RNAcentral.